This 466-nucleotide ribosomal RNA is filed under the name uncultured bacterium. RNAcentral's name for it is "bacterial SSU rRNA". It matches the Rfam family "Bacterial small subunit ribosomal RNA", at positions 9 to 418 of the family's 1533-position model. The record is from RNAcentral.
GAGUUUGAUCGUGGCUCAGGAUGAACGCUGGCGGCGUGCCUAAUACAUGCAAGUCGAGCGGUAAGGCUCCUGCAGAUUAUUCAAGCGAUGAAGGUAACUUCAUCAACCCCUUCCUGGCUAGGAAAGCGGACAAGUUUGAAUGAUGUGCUGGAGUACACGAGCGGCGGACGGGUGAGUAACGCGUAAGAACAUACCCCAAACUGAGGGAUAAGCACCAGAAAUGGUGUCUAAUACCGCAUGUGCUCUACGGAGUAAAGCUACGGCGGUUUGGGAAUGGCUUGCGUCUGAUUAGCUAGUUGGUAAGGUAAUGGCUUACCAAGGCGACGAUCGGUAGCUGUUCUGAGAGGAUGAUCAGCCACACUGGGACUGAGACACGGCCCAGACUCCUACGGGAGGCAGCAGUAGGGAAUUUUCCACAAUGGGGGCAACCCUGAUGGAGCAACGCCGCGUGCAGGAUGAAGGCCUU